GACGAACGCUGGCGGCGUGCCUAAUACAUGCAAGUUGAGCGAUGAAGAUUGGUGCUUGCACCAAUUUGAAGAGCAGCGAACGGGUGAGUAACGCGUGGGGAAUCUGCCUUUGAGCGGGGGACAACAUUUGGAAACGAAUGCUAAUACCGCAUAACAACUUUAAACAUAAGUUUUAAGUUUGAAAGAUGCAAUUGCAUCACUCAAAGAUGAUCCCGCGUUGUAUUAGCUAGUUGGUGAGGUAAAGGCUCACCAAGGCGAUGAUACAUAGCCGACCUGAGAGGGUGAUCGGCCACAUUGGGACUGAGACACGGCCCAAACUCCUACGGGAGGCAGCAGUAGGGAAUCUUCGGCAAUGGACGAAAGUCUGACCGAGCAACGCCGCGUGCGUGAAGAAGGUUUUCGGAUCGUAACUCUGUUGGUAGAGAAGAACGUUGGUGAGAGUGGAAAGCUCAUCAAGUGACGGUAACUACCCAGAAAGGGACGGCUAACUACGUG
RNAcentral lists this ribosomal RNA (495 nucleotides) under uncultured bacterium. Its description in RNAcentral is "partial 16S ribosomal RNA". It matches the Rfam family "Bacterial small subunit ribosomal RNA", at positions 28 to 507 of the family's 1533-position model. The record is from RNAcentral.